CUCCGAGGAGGCUUUCAAUGACUUCAUUCAAGUGCAGGCUGGAGCAAAUGGGAUAUUCAGCAUACCAGCUGUACUACUUUAGUGAUUUGUGUCCUGACUUAGGGGUGCAGCACGAGCAUUGGUGCUCUGGACGCUCAACUGCAUAUAUCUGUGUCACAUUUCAUGGCUGUGAAAGCUUCUCCCGGACCAGCUGGUCUUACUUCUGGAGUCUCUCUUGGAGGAGAAGACUUUAUGUCCUAGAACACUGCAAUGCUUAGAGGAAACGUACAAGCUCCAUGAGCAGGAUGCAGAGGUAAAUCACUAAAAAGAAUCACCCCAAAAUGAGUAAUUGUGUUGUCGACUAGGAGUAAUAGUAUUGCACUAGGAUCCAGACUCAUUUGAAUCCCUUUUUCCUUGUCUAAAACUAAAACUGCAUAUACUUAAUUUCAGUAUUGUUGCAUCUUCAGAUGCCUUAGUUACUCAAUAUUUCUGCCUGCCUGCCUGCCUGCCUGCCUGCCUGCAUCUAUGUGUGUACAUGUGUGCACGUGUGCGUGUGUGUGUGUGUUGUGUAGGUCCAGAUGUGUUUGCAUGCUAUAGGGAGACAAUGCAGCAUAGAUUUUAUAUAUAAUUUUACAUAUACCUUAAGCAGCACAUUCAUUCAAGUGUUAAACUUCUCACUGUGGAAUGCUGACUCUAUAUUUAGAACUCAAUUCAUUUUAGUUAUGUGUAUUGCCUCCAAAUGCAACCAAGUGUCUGUUUUGGUCUAAAAUUCUUCUACAUGGUCAGCCCCUAUUGUUUCUCUUUAGAGAGCUCCAAAGUCUUAUUCAGGAUUUAGAAAAGUCUGCCUUCCACAGAGAGUACAGUAUGUUCUGCUUUUGGGCACGAGUUUCAAGAAGGAAUCAGUUCUUUACAAUUGCAGCUAGUAAGUGCCAGAAAGGUUAACAGUCACGUAGGAAAAUACAGUUUUAUAUGAUACUGUAUAUGUGGCUUCCCCAACACAGAUGUCUAUGAGACUAGCAUCCCUGUUCCAAAGGGUUUAAUGUCUUAAGGGGCCAAAGCAGUAAAUCCUUAUUACCACACACAGUGCUGGCUAUUUGAUAGGGUCGCAUGGAUUUCUCACGCUGGAAGAAUUGUGAUAAUUAAGGCAGCAGAACUUAUGGUUGUAGGCACCCUUGCAAUGAGUAAGGGUUUGCUUCAAGUAGAUAGUAUUCAGGAGACGAGAUGAGAAGAUGAAAUCAGUAAUGAAAAUAGAGGAUGUGUAGAUGUAUAAAUAAAAAGGCUAGUUAUGAAGGAGCA
RNAcentral lists this long non-coding RNA (1275 nucleotides) under Struthio camelus australis. RNAcentral's name for it is "lncRNA (ENSSCUG00000000115.1)". The record is from RNAcentral. Lineage: Eukaryota; Metazoa; Chordata; Aves; Struthioniformes; Struthionidae.